Molecule: long non-coding RNA, 559 nt
Organism: Gossypium arboreum
Lineage: Eukaryota; Viridiplantae; Streptophyta; Magnoliopsida; Malvales; Malvaceae
Exons: 3
Source: RefSeq, a predicted model, not a curated record
AAGAAUUAAAUGGAUGAAAUAUGAAGUUUUAUUAAAAGAAAAAGGGGUGAAAAGAACAAAGUUUUGUCCAUCUUUGUUCAUCAUAGCUGAAAGUUAGAGAAGAGAAAGGAGAGGAGAAAGCUCUUGAGUAUUCGGUCAUUAAGAGGAGGAAAAUUGAAGGCCGUUCGUGUGUGGAUCUCGUCAGCAUAUCGUCGCAAACAGAUGUGUAACUAACACCCUCUUUCUUAGUCUAGAUCGGAAAAAUCCGAAAAGCCGAAAUGCCGAAAACUGGUAUUUUGUAGAUUUGCGAGUGUGCGAAUGCUCGUGAGAUUAACGGGAGGGUCAGAGGAUCGGAUCAUCACGCUCAAGUCACACUAUCUCGAUUUUCCGGUAGAUUUUGUUAUAAAUACUUUAAAUGGUUUACAUGGCAUCUAUAAUAGCUUAUAUGACUAUGUUUUGUAUCAACUCAUGAAUAUAUUAGUUAAGUUAAUAUAAGUUGAUAUAUGAUAUGAAUGGAAAUUAACUAAGAUGUUUAAAUACUACUUGAAAGUAUGAAUGGAUAUAAUGUUAGAUAAAAUAA